AGAAUAAAUAAAUUAAACUUCUAAUUUAAAUUAAAAUGAUUAAUUUCAUUAUUAUUCUU
This 59-nucleotide transfer RNA is filed under the name Gastraspis sp. ZJUH_2016016. Its description in RNAcentral is "tRNA-Ser". The record is from RNAcentral. Lineage: Eukaryota; Metazoa; Arthropoda; Insecta; Hymenoptera; Figitidae.